Small nuclear RNA from Oryctolagus cuniculus (rabbit), 139 nucleotides. Its record names the gene U2. It matches the Rfam family "U2 spliceosomal RNA". Rfam says of the family: U2 is a small nuclear RNA (snRNA) component of the spliceosome (involved in pre-mRNA splicing). Lineage: Eukaryota; Metazoa; Chordata; Mammalia; Lagomorpha; Leporidae. The record is from Ensembl.
AUCGCUUCUCAGCCUUUUGGCUAAGAUCAAGUGUAGUAUAAAUUUUUCACUAAAUUGCAAGCAUAUUUGCAAAGCCAGAUAUGAUAAACUCUUUAACUGAAAUGAAACUUCCAUAAAUGUGGAAUGUAUCUUGUUUGUA